Molecule: ribosomal RNA, 396 nt
Filed under: uncultured bacterium
Lineage: Bacteria
Description: partial 16S ribosomal RNA
Rfam family: Bacterial small subunit ribosomal RNA
Source: RNAcentral
AUACGUAGGGGGCGAGCGUUGUCCGGAAUGAUUGGGCGUAAAGGGCGCGUAGGCGGCCCGGUAAGUCUGGAGUGAAAGUCCUGUUUUUAAGAUGGGAAUUGCUUUGGAUACUGUCGGGCUUGAGUGCAGGAGAGGUAAGUGGAAUUCCCAGUGUAGCGGUGAAAUGCGUAGAGAUUGGGAGGAACACCAGUGGCGAAGGCGACUUACUGGACUGUAACUGACGCUGAGGCGCGAAAGUGUGGGGAGCAAACAGGAUUAGAUACCCUGGUAGUCCACACUGUAAACGAUGAAUGCUAGGUGUAGGGGGUAUCGACCCCUUCUGUGCCGCAGUCAACACAAUAAGCAUUCCGCCUGGGAGUACGGCCGCAAGGUUGAAACUCAAAGGAAUUGACGGGG